GACGAACGCUGGCGGCGUGCCUAAUACAUGCAAGUAGAACGCUGAAGGAGGAGCUUGCUUCUCUGGAUGAGUUGCGAACGGGUGAGUAACGCGUAGGUAACCUGCCUGGUAGCGGGGGAUAACUAUUGGAAACGAUAGCUAAUACCGCAUAAUAUUGACUAUUGCAUGAUAGUCAGUUGAAAGGUGCAACUGCACCACUACCAGAUGGACCUGCGUUGUAUUAGCUAGUUGGUGGGGUAACGACUCACCAAGGCGACGAUACAUAGCCGACCUGAGAGGGUGAUCGGCCACACUGGGACUGAGACACGGCCCAGACUCCUACGGGAGGCAGCAGUAGGGAAUCUUCGGCAAUGGACGGAAGUCUGACCGAGCAACGCCGCGUGAGUGAAGAAGGUUUUCGGAUCGUAAAGCUCUGUUGUAAGAGAAGAACGAGUGUGAGAGUGGAAAGCUCACACUGUGACGGUAUCUUACCAGAAAGGGACGGCUAACUACGUG
Molecule: ribosomal RNA, 495 nt
Filed under: uncultured bacterium
Lineage: Bacteria
Description: partial 16S ribosomal RNA
Rfam family: Bacterial small subunit ribosomal RNA
Source: RNAcentral